Molecule: ribosomal RNA, 253 nt
Filed under: uncultured bacterium
Lineage: Bacteria
Description: partial 16S ribosomal RNA
Rfam family: Bacterial small subunit ribosomal RNA
Source: RNAcentral
UACGAAGGGGGCUAGCGUUGCUCGGAAUCACUGGGCGUAAAGCGCACGUAGGCGGCUUGUUAAGUCAGGGGUGAAAUCCUGGAGCUCAACUCCAGAACUGCCUUUGAUACUGGCGAGCUUGAGUCCGGGAGAGGUGAGUGGAACUGCGAGUGUAGAGGUGAAAUUCGUAGAUAUUAGGAAGAACACCAGUGGCGAAGGCGGCUAACUGGUCCAGUACUGACGCUGAGGUGCGAAAGCGUGGGGAGCAAACAGG